Molecule: ribosomal RNA, 758 nt
Filed under: Salmonella enterica subsp. enterica serovar Lubbock
Lineage: Bacteria; Pseudomonadati; Pseudomonadota; Gammaproteobacteria; Enterobacterales; Enterobacteriaceae
Description: partial 23S ribosomal RNA
Rfam family: Bacterial large subunit ribosomal RNA
Source: RNAcentral
CAUCCUCCAAGGCUAAAUACUCCUGACUGACCGAUAGUGAACCAGUACCGUGAGGGAAAGGCGAAAAGAACCCCGGCGAGGGGAGUGAAAAAGAACCUGAAACCGUGUACGUACAAGCAGUGGGAGCACAGGUUUACCUGUGUGACUGCGUACCUUUUGUAUAAUGGGUCAGCGACUUAUAUUCUGUAGCAAGGUUAACCGUAUAGGGGAGCCGUAGGGAAACCGAGUCUUAACCGGGCGUUAAGUUGCAGGGUAUAGACCCGAAACCCGGUGAUCUAGCCAUGGGCAGGUUGAAGGUUGGGUAACACUAACUGGAGGACCGAACCGACUAAUGUUGAAAAAUUAGCGGAUGACCUGUGGCUGGGGGUGAAAGGCCAAUCAAACCGGGAGAUAGCUGGUUCUCCCCGAAAGCUAUUUAGGUAGCGCCUCGUGAACUCAUCUCCGGGGGUAGAGCACUGUUUCGGCUAGGGGGCCAUCCCGGCUUACCAACCCGAUGCAAACUGCGAAUACCGGAGAAUGUUAUCACGGGAGACACACGGCGGGUGCUAACGUCCGUCGUGAAGAGGGAAACAACCCAGACCGCCAGCUAAGGUCCCAAAGUCAUGGUUAAGUGGGAAACGAUGUGGGAAGGCCCAGACAGCCAGGAUGUUGGCUUAGAAGCAGCCAUCAUUUAAAGAAAGCGUAAUAGCUCACUGGUCGAGUCGGCCUGCGCGGAAGAUGUAACGGGGCUAAACCAUGCACCGAAGCUGCGGCAGCGA